RNAcentral lists this ribosomal RNA (500 nucleotides) under uncultured bacterium. Its description in RNAcentral is "partial 16S ribosomal RNA". It matches the Rfam family "Bacterial small subunit ribosomal RNA", at positions 30 to 523 of the family's 1533-position model. The record is from RNAcentral.
AUUGAACGCUGGCGGAAUGCUUUACACAUGCAAGUCGAACGGCAGCACGGACUUCGGUCUGGUGGCGAGUGGCGAACGGGUGAGUAAUGUAUCGGAACGUGCCCAGUCGUGGGGGAUAACGUAGUGAAAAUUACGCUAAUACCGCAUACGAUCUAUGGAUGAAAGCGGGGGAUCGCAAGACCUCGCGCGAUUGGAGCGGCCGAUAUCAGAUUAGGUAGUUGGUGGGGUAAAGGCCCACCAAGCCAACGAUCUGUAGCUGGUCUGAGAGGACGACCAGCCACACUGGAAUUGAGACACGGUCUAGACUCCUACGGGAGGCAGCAGUGGGGAAUUUUGGACAAUGGGCGAAAGCCUGAUCCUGCCAUUCCGCGUGCAGGAUGAAGGCCCUCGGGUUGUAAACUGCUUUUGUACAGAACGAAAAGGUUUCUACUAAUACUAGGAGCUCAUGACGGUACUGUAAGAAUAAGCACCGGCUAACUACGUGCCAGCAGCCGCCGUAA